Molecule: long non-coding RNA, 668 nt
Filed under: Citrus sinensis (sweet orange)
Lineage: Eukaryota; Viridiplantae; Streptophyta; Magnoliopsida; Sapindales; Rutaceae
Description: long non-coding RNA (CSIN_LNC005741)
Source: RNAcentral
UUUCUUGUGCCUCAAUUACAUUCGCCACAAAAAAACUAGGGGGAUGUUGGUUGGGAAGGAAAUAUGAGGCCAAUGAUGAAGCACCACGUGUCGAUAUUUAAGAAAUUAACUUACCUUGGGUAUCUCAGGUACCCUAGGUACUCUAGGGGUACCUCAGGUACACUAUGUAAGGAUACAAAAAGUCUUCGUAAAAAUGUGAAGGGAUAUGUGGGCCCCGAAUUUCAAAAAAAUCAGUUUAAUACGUGUCAAAAAAUAAGGAAUCGGUGGGGAAAUCUCGUGCCAUAAAAGAGGAGAUAGCCGCCUGUCACGCCAGCAAAUCCGCCAAAAGUUUGAUAUUAUGACAGUGGGACCACCAAUUUUUUCUGCUACGCUUGCAAAAUUACAACGGAAUUGCAGAGGUACGCAGGACCACUCCACUACGCCUAGUACGUGAAUACGCCACAAACUUGAUCUCCAUGUAUGUUUUUGAAAUGCCUAAGCCGCCAUACACAUAAAAAUAAGAAUAUUUCUGACAUGACAGCAGGGAAUGCCACUAAAAUAGCGUCAGGUAGCACAGCGACCGGGGUACACCAUAUAAAUACUCAAGUUUAAUUUUUAUCAAUUAUAUUAACACACACCACCAAAAACUAAGGUUUCUUCAACCUCCAUUACCGAGAGCUUGCAAGCUC